This is a long non-coding RNA of Sapajus apella (tufted capuchin), 110 nucleotides long. RefSeq lists it as uncharacterized. NCBI's taxonomy places the organism in Eukaryota, Metazoa, Chordata, Mammalia, Primates, Cebidae. The record is from RefSeq and is a predicted model, not a curated record. The transcript is spliced from 3 exons.
GUGGGUUCUGAUUUUCUCUUUCCGAAAGCAGGGUUGGGCCCUGAUUUUUCUAUUUUGUAAAAAUGUACAGAGUACUCAGAACAGCACAGCUGGUAGACAAAGUGAGGUUA